RNAcentral lists this ribosomal RNA (118 nucleotides) under Orchesella cincta. The record is from RNAcentral. Lineage: Eukaryota; Metazoa; Arthropoda; Collembola; Entomobryomorpha; Orchesellidae.
GCCAACGGCCAUACCACGUUGAACACACCAGUUCUCGUCCGAUCACUGAAGUUAAGCAAACGUCGGCCCGGUUAGUACUUGGAUGGGUGACGCCUGGGAACCCCGGGUGCUGUUGGUA